GGCACGCACUUGCCUCUGGCGGCGCAAGGCGGCGUCGACGGCGAGUUCGAGUCCGCGCAGUUCAGCGUCGGCAAUCGUGUCUGAUACGGCCAUAAUGACAGCAUCUGUGCCGCCGGUCACGCUGGCAAAGGCUUGGCCGUUGGCGACACUCUCGGGCGUCCAGCGGUUGAUGGGUGCAUUCAUGACGGGUAUGGGCGAGACGCGGUCGGGCGCUGGUGCCGAGACGCCCAGCGGGACGACAUCGACGACGCGCGACGUGCCCAACAGGCCGCGCAGACGCAACUGGAGGUCGUUUUCAGGCGCGUCGGCCAUGGUAAUGGCGCUGGGCUCUGCCUGGGCGUCGGUGACGCCACCACGAUCUUCGGCCUCGGCGAGCCACUCGUCAUAGGCCACGCCCAGACCGUAGAGGGCGCGCCAACGGCGCUCGGCCUGCUGGCGGCGCCACAGCAACAAUUGUGUGAGCGUGUCGUCGAGGCCGCCGGGGCCGAAAAAGGGCGCGGCCGCCGAAUCAAACUUGGCGGCAUAGGCCUCGAUCCAGCCGAGGCCGGGCGUGUCGCACAUCUGGCGGCGUCCCGACGACGACACGCAAUACUGUUCGAGCAGGUCAAACUGGCCGGCGUCAAAGAGGCCCUGGGCUUCAUGCCAGCGCGCCCAUGCAAUGGCAUCUCGGGGCGCCAGGGCGCGCGGCGGCGCACCCGGCUCGGCCGGCCCGACAAAGAGAUCGGCGGCUUCGGGAAAGAUGGUGGCGAGCAC
Molecule: long non-coding RNA, 753 nt
Filed under: Pandoravirus celtis
Description: hypothetical ncRNA
Source: RNAcentral